This 497-nucleotide ribosomal RNA is filed under the name uncultured bacterium. Its description in RNAcentral is "partial 16S ribosomal RNA". It matches the Rfam family "Bacterial small subunit ribosomal RNA", at positions 28 to 507 of the family's 1533-position model. The record is from RNAcentral.
GAUGAACGCUGGCGGCGUGCCUAAUACAUGCAAGUCGAGCGAACAGACGAGGAUCUUACUCCUCUGACGUUAGCGGCGGACGGGUGAGUAACACGUGGAUAACCUACCUAUAAGACUGGGAUAACUUCGGGAAACCGGAGCUAAUACCGGAUAAGAUGUUGAACCGCAUGGUUCAACAGUGAAAGACGGUCUUGCUGUCACUUAUCGAUGGAUCCGGGUGGCAUUAGCUAGUUGGUAAGGUAAAGGCUUACCAAGGCAACGAUGCGUAGCCGAACUGAGGGGGUGAUCGGCCACACGGGAACUGAGACACGGUCCAGACUCCUAAGGGAGGCAGCAGUAGGGAACCUUCCGCAAUGGGCGGAAGCCUGACGGAGCAACGCCGCGUGAGUGAAGAAGGUCUUCGGAUCGUAAAACUCUGUUAUUAGGGAAGAACAAAUGUGUAAGUAACUGUGCACGUCUUGACGGUACCUAAUCAGAAAGCCACGGCUAACUACGUG